Molecule: ribosomal RNA, 397 nt
Filed under: uncultured bacterium
Lineage: Bacteria
Description: partial 16S ribosomal RNA
Rfam family: Bacterial small subunit ribosomal RNA
Source: RNAcentral
AUACGUAGGGGGCGAGCGUUGUCCGGAAUGAUUGGGCGUAAAGGGCGCGUAGGCGGCCCGGUAAGUCUGGAGUGAAAGUCCUGUUUUUAAGAUGGGAAUUGCUUUGGAUACUGUCGGGCUUGAGUGCAGGAGAGGUAAGUGGAAUUCCCAGUGUAGCGGUGAAAUGCGUAGAGAUUGGGAGGAACACCAGUGGCGAAUGCGACUUACUGGACUGUAACUGACGCUGAGGAGCGAAAGUGUGGGGAGCAAACAGGAUUAGAUACCCUGGUAGUCCCCACUGUAAACGAUGAAUGCUAGGUGUAGGGGGUAUCGACCCCUUCUGUGCCGCAGUCAACACAAUAAGCAUACCGCCUGGGGAGUACGGCCGCAAGGUUGAAACUCAAAGGAAUUGACGGGG